Molecule: ribosomal RNA, 564 nt
Filed under: uncultured bacterium
Lineage: Bacteria
Description: bacterial SSU rRNA
Rfam family: Bacterial small subunit ribosomal RNA
Source: RNAcentral
CCUACGGGAGGCAGCAGUUGGGAAUCUUGCGCAAUGGGGGAAACCCUGACGCAGCGACGUCGCGUGGAGGACGAAGGAUUUAGGUCUGUAAACUCCUUUUUCAGGGAAAGACUUAGGACGGUACCCUGAGAAUAAGCACCGGCUAACUACGUGCCAGCAGCCGCGGUAAGACGUAGGGUGCAAGCGUUGUCCGGAUUUACUGGGCGUAAAGGGCGCGUAGGCGGUCUGUUAAGUGUAGAGUGAAAUCUCCAGGGCUCAACCCGGAAACUGCUCUGCAUACUGGCAGACUUGAGGGACGAAGAGGUAUGUGGAAUUCCUGGUGUAGCGGUGAAAUGCGUUGAUAUCAGGAGGAACACCCAUGGCGAAGGCAGCAUACUGGUCGUUUCCUGACGCUGAGGCGCGAAAGCGUGGGUAGCAAACAGGAUUAGAUACCCUGGUAGUCCACGCCCUAAACGAUGGAUACUAGGCGUCGGAGGUAUCGACCCCUCCGGUGCCGCAGCUAACGCAUUAAGUAUCCCGCCUGGGGACUACGGCCGCAAGGUUGAAACUCAAAUGAAUUGACGG